AUGCAUUUAAAAAUCACACACAAGUUGAAUCUGAAAUUCAGCUCAUCAUUGAUGGUCAGAGUAGAUCCAGACGAAUGCGUAUUAGAACUUGAUCGAUCAAGGAAAAUACCAAUCACAGACCAAGAAAUAAACGAUGCAUUCGGUUUGCCACAAGGAAGUAGGAUCAUUCCUCCAGGCCAUUCAGAUCUAUCUGAAGUUUGCAUAGAGUUCAGCAGAUUGGCUUCAAGCAUUAGUACAAAAGGCGUCCAUAGUUUGAAGGCAGCUGAAUUUAUACUAUCAAAGCAACUUGCUGGUCUCACCACAUGCCGGUUGAUAGAUAGCAACCCAUGUUAG
Molecule: ribosomal RNA, 333 nt
Filed under: Triticum aestivum (bread wheat)
Lineage: Eukaryota; Viridiplantae; Streptophyta; Magnoliopsida; Poales; Poaceae
Description: partial small subunit ribosomal RNA
Source: RNAcentral